GCAAAUUCUAGCUCAGUUGGUAGAGCAGGAGACUCUUAAUCUCAUGGUGGUGGGUUUGAGCCCCACGUUGGCC
RNAcentral lists this transfer RNA (73 nucleotides) under Podarcis lilfordi (Lilford's wall lizard). RNAcentral describes it as "tRNA.Lys". The stretch from base 9 to 66 matches the Rfam family "tRNA", at positions 8 to 63 of the family's 71-position model. From Rfam's summary of the family: Transfer RNA (tRNA) molecules are approximately 80 nucleotides in length. Their secondary structure includes four short double-helical elements and three loops (D, anti-codon, and T loops). Further hydrogen bonds mediate the characteristic L-shaped molecular structure. tRNAs have two regions of fundamental functional importance: the anti-codon, which is responsible for specific mRNA codon recognition, and the 3' end, to which the tRNAs corresponding amino acid is attached (by aminoacyl-tRNA synthetases). tRNAs cope with the degeneracy of the genetic code in two manners: having more than one tRNA (with a specific anti-codon) for a particular amino acid; and 'wobble' base-pairing, i.e. permitting non-standard base-pairing at the 3rd anti-codon position. Lineage: Eukaryota; Metazoa; Chordata; Lepidosauria; Squamata; Lacertidae. The record is from RNAcentral.